AUGGCUGUCGUCAGCUCGUGUCGUGAGAUGUUCGGUUAAGUCCGCUAACGAGCGCAACCCUCGCUGUGUGUUAUAUGUGUCACACGGGACGUGCCGGUCUUAAGCCGGAGGAAGGUGGGGAUGAUGUCAAGUCAGCAUGGCCUUUAUAUCCUGGGCUACACACACGCUACAAUGGCCAACACAAUAGGUUGCUAAGCCGCGAGGUGGCCGCCAAUCCAUAAAGUUGGUCUCAGUUCAGAUUGUAGGCUGCAACCCGCCUGCCAUGAAGAUGGAGUUGCUAGUAACCGCAGGUCAGCUAUACUGCGGUGAAUACGUUCCCGGGGCUU
RNAcentral lists this ribosomal RNA (326 nucleotides) under uncultured Leptolinea sp. RNAcentral's name for it is "bacterial SSU rRNA". It matches the Rfam family "Bacterial small subunit ribosomal RNA", at positions 1045 to 1382 of the family's 1533-position model. Lineage: Bacteria; Bacillati; Chloroflexota; Anaerolineae; Anaerolineales; Anaerolineaceae. The record is from RNAcentral.